RNAcentral lists this long non-coding RNA (770 nucleotides) under Pan troglodytes (chimpanzee). Its description in RNAcentral is "lncRNA (ENSPTRG00000054112.1)". The record is from RNAcentral. Lineage: Eukaryota; Metazoa; Chordata; Mammalia; Primates; Hominidae.
GGAGGCUCAGGCACGGCUGGGCUGCAGGUCCCGAGCCCUGCCCCGCGGGAAGGCAGCUAAGGCCGGGCGAGAAAUUGAGCACAGCAGCUGCUGGCCCAGGUGCUAAGCCCCUCACUGCCUGGGGCUGGCGGGGCUGGCGGGGCCGGCAGGCCGCUCCGAGUGCGGGCCCGCCGAGCCUACGCCCACCCGGAACUCGCGCUGGCCCGGAAGCAUCGCGCGCGGCCCCGUUUCCGGCCCGCGCCUCUCCCUCCACCCCUCCCCACAAGCUGAGGGAGCCGGCUGCGGCCUUCGCCAGCCCAGAAAGGGGCUCCUACAGUGCAGUGGCGGGCUGAAGGGCUGCUCAAGCGCUGCCAAAGUGGGAGCCCAGGCAGAGGAGGCACCCAGAGCGAGCGAGGGCUGCGAGGACUGCCAGCACGCUGUCACCUCUCAGUCAUAUAGAUGGCCAAUCUAUUUGUGAACCAGGCUUGUCCGAGACACUUACUUUCACGAAUGAAAUGUUCACCAGCACGGUCUGCGUUAAUCUUCUUGGUCUUCAGCCUUUCUACCAUGGAAGAAGAUAAGCCACAUUGCUGCUGGCCCCAGAAAGAUGAGGCCUUAUGGUGCAGUUCUGACCCUGCACCAAAUUAGAGCCUGGACCUUAACCUCACAGGCCCAGCCCAGGAAAGACUCGCUGAGAGCAGCUCAAUCACUGUCACAUGGAUGGGCCCAAGACACUUUCUUGGCCAAAAAGAGCUCAAGGGAAAAACAGACAACGCAAAAUUAAAAGAAAC